CCUCCUCAGCCUUACUCCAGGGGCUUGUGCCUGUCGAGUGCCCUGGCAUUGCCUGAGGAUAGACAAGCAAGCACACGUCCCUCCCCAGUAAGACUUUGCUAUCUUUUGGGGCCUACAAGGUGAGCUGACAGU
Otolemur garnettii (small-eared galago) is the source of this 132-nucleotide small nucleolar RNA. Ensembl annotates it as small nucleolar RNA, H/ACA box 49. Its record names the gene SNORA49. Lineage: Eukaryota; Metazoa; Chordata; Mammalia; Primates; Galagidae. The record is from Ensembl.